CUCUGCUUUUGUUUGAAAGUUAUUUUACUUAUUAUUAAGACUGUAAAAUUAUGGAUGGUAAAGACAAAGUUAUCCAUGCAAGAGUUAAGAAAGUUCUUGGUAGAACUGGAUCUCAGGGCCAGUGCACUCAAGUGCAAGUGGAGCUAAUAAAUUCAGUACCAGUUAACGGAUCCAAUCGCACGCUUAUUCGUAAUGUUAAGGGGCCUGUCCGUGAUGGUGACAUUUUGGCCCUUCGCGAGAGUGAACGUGAAGCUCGUAGGCUUCGUUGAACUGAUUUUGCAUUUUCAUGUAUUUAGUGUUACGUAGUUUUCUCUCUGCCGUAAUUUUUCAAAGAAAAAUAAAAAAACUUUCGGUGUAUA
Zophobas morio is the source of this 359-nucleotide long non-coding RNA. RefSeq lists it as uncharacterized. The record is from RefSeq and is a predicted model, not a curated record. The transcript is spliced from 2 exons. NCBI's taxonomy places the organism in Eukaryota, Metazoa, Arthropoda, Insecta, Coleoptera, Tenebrionidae.